AUAUAAAAAAUAAAAAAAAUAAAAAAAUAAAGAAAAAAAUAUAAAAAAUUAUUUUUUUCUACAAAAAAAAUAAAGAAUCGGAGAGAAAAGAAAAGGAUGAUGAAGAUGCAGUAUUUUUAAAAAACAUUGCACUGUUUUAAAAAAAAUUUCUCCUCUUCUUCCUCCUCAUUUCUCUUUGUUUUUGUGUGUAGCAGGAGAAAUAGUAUAAUUUUCGCCCAAAAAGUGCAAGUUCGUUCGAAAAGUGCAGCUUUCAUUCAGAAAAGUGAAAAUUUUUUAAAAUAGCGCAACGUUCCUCUGAAACACUGUAUCUUCAUCAUCAUCUUCUUUUCUCUCUGAUUCUUUAUUUUAGUUUAUAUUUUAUUCUUUAUUCUUUUUAAUUUAUUUAUUUUAUAUUUUUUUCUUGGCUCCGCUCUUACCCGCGCUCGCUCCGAGUCCUCCUUCAACGGUGCCGGUGUCGGUGCCUGCGCCGGCGAAAGCGGAGUAAGAGGAUGCGAUGCUAUCUUUGUUAUCGUUGUGGAAGAUCGCGGAGGCGGUUGAGGAGGGGUCGAAGAGUAAAAAAAAAGAACGAGAGAAAAGUAGAGGAAGAGGAUACGACGUUACUCUCUUUACUGUCGUAAAGAGCCAGGGAGGCAAUAGAGGAGGGUCGGAGAGAAAAA
RNAcentral lists this long non-coding RNA (656 nucleotides) under Ananas comosus (pineapple). Its description in RNAcentral is "long non-coding RNA (ACOM_LNC015786)". The record is from RNAcentral. Lineage: Eukaryota; Viridiplantae; Streptophyta; Magnoliopsida; Poales; Bromeliaceae.